RNAcentral lists this ribosomal RNA (324 nucleotides) under uncultured bacterium. RNAcentral describes it as "bacterial SSU rRNA". It matches the Rfam family "Bacterial small subunit ribosomal RNA", at positions 30 to 350 of the family's 1533-position model. The record is from RNAcentral.
AUUGAACGCUGGCGGCAUGCUUUACACAUGCAAGUCGAACGGCAGCACGGGUGCUUGCACCUGGUGGCGAGUGGCGAACGGGUGAGUAAUGCAUCGGAACGUACCUAUCAGUGGGGGAUAACACAUCGAAAGAUGUGCUAAUACCGCAUAUUAUCCGAGGAUGAAAGCGGGGGACCUUAGGGCCUCGCGCUGAUAGAGCGGCCGAUGUCGGAUUAGCUAGUUGGUGAGGUAAAGGCUCACCAAGGCGACGAUCCGUAGCGGGUCUGAGAGGAUGAUCCGCCACACUGGGACUGAGACACGGCCCAGACCUCCGUACGGGAGCGA